UGUCUUACUGCCCAAGAUUAAAUUGAAUUGAGAAUGUAGCUCGCACAAUAUAAACUCUUGCACUUAUCGCAUAGUAUUCAUUCAUUAAACAAACCAGUAAGAAAAUUAGUAUGUCCAUAAGUGAACAGGCUUCCUUCAUUUAUCAUUGGAUAAGCUUUCUAACUCCCCAUUCAACAUUUGGCAUGCCAAAUAAAAAUUUUCAUUUCCAUUUUCGCUUCAUAUAUGUCUGUGAUAGUUAUAUUCUAUAUUUGACCAUGUAACGCACAAAAGCAUGUCACUUGGACAUAAGCCUUGUGUUCUGAACUGUUUGUAUUGCUUGAACAAAAUCAUCAUUACUUCAAUUAUUUUUAAUCUAAGUUUUUG
RNAcentral lists this unclassified non-coding RNA (363 nucleotides) under Hevea brasiliensis (rubber tree). The record is from RNAcentral. Lineage: Eukaryota; Viridiplantae; Streptophyta; Magnoliopsida; Malpighiales; Euphorbiaceae.